ACAGAGUCAAUGUGGAGGCUAUAUACAGGGGGUACCGGUACAGAGUCAAUGUGGAGGCUAUAUACAGGGGGUACCGGUACAGAGUCAAUGUGGAGGCUAUAUACAGGGGGUACCGGUACAGAGUCAAUGUGGAGGCUAUAUACAGGGGGUACCGGUACAGAGUCAAUGUGGAGGCUAUAUACAGGGGGUACGGUACAGAGUCAAUGUGGAGGCUAUAUACAGGGGGUACUGGUACAGAGUCAAUGUGGAGG
Molecule: long non-coding RNA, 251 nt
Organism: Oncorhynchus tshawytscha (Chinook salmon)
Lineage: Eukaryota; Metazoa; Chordata; Actinopteri; Salmoniformes; Salmonidae
Source: Ensembl